UGUUACGUGCUAAUGCUUGCCUUCCUAUGCAGUUUAAAAUGUCUGACGUGGAAGAGUUUCGUUGCUUCAUUGGUGGCCUUGCAUGGUCAACGUCUGAUAGAAAGUUAAAGGAUACAUUUGAAAAGUUUGGCAAGCUUAUUGAGGCAAAGGUGGUUGUUGACAAGUUCUCUGGGCGUUCUCGUGGUUUUGGAUUUGUCACAUUUGAUGACAAGAAAGCAAUGGACGAGGCUAUUGAUGCUAUGAAUGGGAUAGAUUUAGACGGGCGAACUAUUACUGUUGAUAGAGCUCAGCCUCAACAGGAUCAACUAGAGAUGAUGGUGAUCGUUACCGGGAGCGUGGUCGUGAUCGUGAUCGUAACCGAGAUUAUGGAGGUGGAGGUGGUCGAGGAUCUAAUGGUGGUGAAUGCUUUAAGUGUGGAAAACCUGGUCAUUUUGCUAGGGAAUGCCCUGGUGAAGGGUCCAGGGGAGGAAGGUAUGGUGGGUAGGGAAAGUAGAUAUGGGUGGAAGCAGUCGUGGUGGUUAUGGACCGGAUAGAAAUGCAGAUCGUUCUUCAGGGGGCGCAGCAGGGAUGGUGGUAGUCAUGGGGAUUCUGGAAGUGAUCGAUAUUAUCGUGAUCGUUCAGGACCAUAUGAGCGGGAGCGACGGGGAUCGGGAGGCUUUCGUUGAUAUAAUAUAGUCUUUCAAUGAGAUAUGAAAUUGAAGAGGUCGCUGUUAAUGUUUCAACUUUCCUUUUCAUUUGCACUUGACAAUGCUCUUUGGACUUCUGGGAUUGUUGUUUGGAUGGAUCAUUGAUACCAGUAUUUUGAUAUGCAAUACUCAACACAUUAUGCAAACUCUUUAUGUUCCUAAAUGCUGAUCUUUUGGUCUAGUGAAAUCUUAUGCAUGCUUGACUUGCGGUCAAAUUCAA
RNA transcript from Glycine soja, 906 nucleotides. It is a transcript of the gene named glycine-rich RNA-binding protein RZ1A-like, with no coding region annotated. Lineage: Eukaryota; Viridiplantae; Streptophyta; Magnoliopsida; Fabales; Fabaceae. The record is from RefSeq and is a predicted model, not a curated record. The transcript has 3 exons.